Molecule: ribosomal RNA, 253 nt
Filed under: uncultured bacterium
Lineage: Bacteria
Description: partial 16S ribosomal RNA
Rfam family: Bacterial small subunit ribosomal RNA
Source: RNAcentral
GACGGAGGGUGCUAGCGUUGUUCGGAAUCACUGGGCGUAAAGGGCGCGUAGGCGGCCUUAGGUGUCGGAUGUGAAAGCCCCGGGCUCAACCUGGGAAUUGCAUUUGAGACUGCGUAGCUAGGGUGCGGAAGAGGGAAGCGGAAUUUCCGGUGUAGCGGUGAAAUGCGUAGAUAUCGGAAGGAACACCAGUGGCGAAAGCGGCUUCCUGGUCCAGCACCGACGUUCAGGCACGAAAGCGUGGGGAGCAAACAGG